Molecule: unclassified non-coding RNA, 253 nt
Filed under: uncultured Micrococcales bacterium
Lineage: Bacteria; Bacillati; Actinomycetota; Actinomycetes; Micrococcales
Description: contains 16S-23S intergenic spacer region
Rfam family: Bacterial small subunit ribosomal RNA
Source: RNAcentral
UACGUAGGGUGCAAGCGUUAUCCGGAAUUAUUGGGCGUAAAGAGCUCGUAGGCGGUCUGUCGCGUCUGCUGUGAAAACCGGAGGCUCAACCUCCGGCCUGCAGUGGGUACGGGCAGACUCGAGUGCGGUAGGGGAGACUGGAAUUCCUGGUGUAGCGGUGGAAUGCGCAGAUAUCAGGAGGAACACCGAUGGCGAAGGCAGGUCUCUGGACCGUAACUGACGCUGAGGAGCGAAAGCGUGGGGAGCGAACAGG